RNAcentral lists this ribosomal RNA (576 nucleotides) under uncultured Chloroflexota bacterium. RNAcentral's name for it is "bacterial SSU rRNA". It matches the Rfam family "Bacterial small subunit ribosomal RNA", at positions 102 to 694 of the family's 1533-position model. Lineage: Bacteria; Bacillati; Chloroflexota. The record is from RNAcentral.
ACGGGUGAGUAACACGUAGCUAAUCUACCUCAAAGCGCGGGAUAACGUGUCGAAAGGCAGGCUAAUACCGCAUAAGCUCGCGAUCUGUAGAGGGUUGCGAGAAAAGGCUUAGGUCACUUUGAGAUGAGGCUGCGGCCCAUCAGCUAGUUGGGGUGGUAAAAGCACACCAAGGCGACGACGGGUAGGGGACCUGAGAGGGUGACCCCCCACACUGGGACUGAGACACGGCCCAGACUCCUACGGGAGGCAGCAGUGAGGAAUAUUGCACAAUGGGCGCAAGCCUGAUGCAGCGACGCCGCGUGGGUGAAGAAGGUUUUCGGAUCGUAAAACCCUUUUCUGUGUGACGAGCAAGGACGGUAGCACAGGAAUAAGUCUCGGCUAACUACGUGCCAGCAGCCGCGGUAAAACGUAGGAGACAAACGUUAUCCGGAGUUACUGGGCGUAAAGGGCGUGUAGGUGGUUUCGUAAGUCUGGCGUGAAAUUUUCCGGCUUAACCGGGAAAGGUCGUCGGAUACUGCGGAACUAGAGGACGGUAGAGGCGUGUGGAAUUCCGGGUGUAGUGGUGAAAUGCGUAGA